This 494-nucleotide ribosomal RNA is filed under the name uncultured bacterium. RNAcentral's name for it is "partial 16S ribosomal RNA". It matches the Rfam family "Bacterial small subunit ribosomal RNA", at positions 28 to 507 of the family's 1533-position model. The record is from RNAcentral.
GACGAACGCUGGCGGCGUGCUUAACACAUGCAAGUCGAACGGUGAAGCGCCUUCCUUUUUGGUGGGUGUGGGUGAGUGGCGAACGGGUGAGUAACACGUGAGUAACCUGCCCCCUUCUUCUGGAUAACCGCAUGAAAGUGUGGCUAAUACGGGAUAUUCUGGGUCUGUCGCAUGAUGGGUCUGGGAAAGAUAUUGUUUCGGUGGGGGAUGGGCUCGCGGCCUAUCAGCUUGUUGGUGGGGUGGUGGCCUACCAAGGCGGUGACGGGUAGCCGGCCUGAGAGGGUGGACGGUCACACUGGGACUGAGACACGGCCCAGACUCCUACGGGAGGCAGCAGUGGGGAAUAUUGCACAAUGGGCGCAAGCCUGAUGCAGCGACGCCGCGUGAGGGAUGGAGGCCUGCGGGUUGUGAACCUCUUUCGCCAGUGAAGCAGGCCUGCCUCGUUUGUGGGUGGGUUGACGGUAGCUGGAUAAGAAGCGCCGGCUAACUACGUG